Molecule: long non-coding RNA, 313 nt
Filed under: Phoenix dactylifera (date palm)
Lineage: Eukaryota; Viridiplantae; Streptophyta; Magnoliopsida; Arecales; Arecaceae
Description: long non-coding RNA (PDAC_LNC011355)
Source: RNAcentral
CCAGUGACACCAAGCAGCAUGUAGUGGCUACCCAGCAGAAUAGAAUGGUGAACCUCUAGGUGCAGUUAUUAUGUGAUACAGUCCUUCUAUCGUGGAUCCCUAUAGGACGGAGGUCAUGGACAACUCGUCAAACCCCAUCGUCUGUCAUAUGUCAAGAUUUAUUCGACUUAAUGUUCGAGAGCGGAGAACUCUUUCUCUACUGUGCAAUCUGCCCCGGCCGAGGUCUUACGAACUCAGUCUUAUAAAUCACAUAGGAUCUCUCCUUAUCUAUCAAGGUCGAUAGAUUCUUUAUAGGUGCAUACCCUACUCCUAC